This 425-nucleotide ribosomal RNA is filed under the name uncultured bacterium. RNAcentral's name for it is "bacterial SSU rRNA". It matches the Rfam family "Bacterial small subunit ribosomal RNA", at positions 917 to 1345 of the family's 1533-position model. The record is from RNAcentral.
GGGCCCGCACAAGCGGUGGAGCAUGUGGUUUAAUUCGAUGAUACGCGAGGAACCUUACCAGGGCUUAAAUGUAGUGGGACAGGUCUAGAGAUAGACCCUUCUUCGGACUCAUUACAAGGUGCUGCAUGGUUGUCGUCAGCUCGUGCCGUGAGGUGUCAGGUUAAGUCCUAUAACGAGCGCAACCCCUGUUGUUAGUUGCCAGCGAGUAAUGUCGGGAACUCUAGCAAGACUGCCAGUGCAAACUGUGAGGAAGGUGGGGAUGACGUCAAAUCAUCACGGCCCUUACGUCCUGGGCUACACACGUGCUACAAUGGUAGGUACAGAGAGCAGCCAAUGCGCGAGCAUGAGCAAAUCUAUAAAACCGAUCUCAGUUCGGAUCGGGGUCUGCAACUCGACCCCGUGAAGCUGGAAUCGCUAGUAAUCGG